Molecule: long non-coding RNA, 1408 nt
Organism: Cuculus canorus (common cuckoo)
Lineage: Eukaryota; Metazoa; Chordata; Aves; Cuculiformes; Cuculidae
Exons: 4
Source: RefSeq, a predicted model, not a curated record
GUUUUAACUUUGGCUCUCACAUGAGUGCUCUGACACAUCCGUGCUGUCUGCACGUCUGGGUAGCGUUUGCAUGUGGAUGCCUCCUGAGAUUCCAGGCAGCUCAGAAAAGGAAACAUCUAAUUUGUAUUUGCUAAGGUAUCAGGCUUACAGGCAUCAGGAGCUGAAAAAAAUCCAGCCUCCAGGAGUUUCCAGUGGCAUCAGGAGGAUCACACUCUCUGCCUCACCCUCGCUGCUACCACCACGUACCAAAUUGCGUGUAUAAUUCUGCCCUUUGUGCAGCAGACGUGAAAUGGUCUUGAUCUGAUCCCGAGUUUUCUUCCUUUGAAUUCAUUCAGAUCUCAGAAUUCAUCUGUAAUUAUGUAUAAUUAAUUUCUCCUUACAGGACGCUUUUGAGAUGGGAGCUGAUAAGGAACAAUAAGAAAACUUCUUCUUUUGCAUAUCUCUCCCUGGAACAAGCCCCAUGACUGGUUGCAACCUGUAAUAAAAAUGCCAUAUGCAAGAGGAUAUAUUUAAUAUCGGGAAGGCAAAACAGAACGAUAUGAUCUGUUUGGGGUUUGAAGAUUUGAAGAAAAAGAAUAUCUCCUUGAAGAUGAGAUAAUCCUGGUGGAACAAUCCUGUAAUAUCUGCUGAAAAAUGCAUGCAAGACUGAAUUGUGAACUUUCAAAUGAGAACAUUUUAGACGUGUGCAGCGUGUUGCCUCUAAUUUAAAUUCCCAUAAUUCUAUCUUUGAAGUUCUUGGUACUUUAGACUUAAAAGGCAGAACUGCAUAUUCUUUGUGCUCGGGAAAGGAGACAAGACCUUUAUAGUUUCAGAAUGGGCCUUUUUUUUUUUCCUUAAGGAAAAAUGUAAUUGCAUACAAACUGCAAAUCUCUCUAAACAAUUCUCAUCGGUUGCCUGAAGAGUCCCUUGGCUGAAUUAUAAAUCACGAUAAAGUGUACCAAAAAAGAAUCGGGGCAUAAAUGAGUUUUGGAGCUGUCUAGUCUAGGGUUCUGUAAGGUAAUUAAAUCAAGGAGACUUUCUGAUCUAUGGAAGGGUCAAUGUAUCAGGGCAGUGCUUUGAACCAUGGUCUCAUUAAGACACAAUUGCUGCCUUCGCUUCCCAGAUUGUUUAUAACAGCAGGCUUAUUCCUAAGCAGUCAAUAACUAGAGAACAUAAAUCACUGCACAGAAAGAGUUAUUCCCAGUUUAUGGGCCAGAUCCUCAGCUCGUAUAAAUCACUGUUUUCCCAAUGAUGUCACCUCAGCCGUGCUUUAUUUAUACAAUCCAAAGACCUGUCUCAUACUGUUCUCAUUUUAUUGGCUUUUAUUGACUCAUUCUGUAGGUACAGAUUUUCAUAUAUGAAAUGAAGGUAGAGAUAACUGAGCUAUGUGAAAAGUAAUUUUUGUAAAAUUUUCAGGGGAAAAAUGGAA